Molecule: transfer RNA, 88 nt
Organism: Wallemia ichthyophaga EXF-994
Lineage: Eukaryota; Fungi; Basidiomycota; Wallemiomycetes; Wallemiales; Wallemiaceae
Rfam family: tRNA
About the family: Transfer RNA (tRNA) molecules are approximately 80 nucleotides in length. Their secondary structure includes four short double-helical elements and three loops (D, anti-codon, and T loops). Further hydrogen bonds mediate the characteristic L-shaped molecular structure. tRNAs have two regions of fundamental functional importance: the anti-codon, which is responsible for specific mRNA codon recognition, and the 3' end, to which the tRNAs corresponding amino acid is attached (by aminoacyl-tRNA synthetases). tRNAs cope with the degeneracy of the genetic code in two manners: having more than one tRNA (with a specific anti-codon) for a particular amino acid; and 'wobble' base-pairing, i.e. permitting non-standard base-pairing at the 3rd anti-codon position.
Source: Rfam
GGGUUCAUGGCAGAGCGGUCUAUUGCAUUCGUCUUGAAAACGAAAGCUAUCUAAUCGAUAGCCGUAGGUUCAAAUCCUACUGAGCCCG